This 301-nucleotide ribosomal RNA is filed under the name uncultured bacterium. RNAcentral's name for it is "partial 16S ribosomal RNA". It matches the Rfam family "Bacterial small subunit ribosomal RNA", at positions 509 to 807 of the family's 1533-position model. The record is from RNAcentral.
CAGCAGCCACGGGAAUACGGAGGGUGCAAGCGUUAUCCGGAUUUAUUGGGUUUAAAGGGUCCGUAGGCGGAUCUGUAAGUCAGUGGUGAAAUCUCACAGCUUAACUGUGAAACUGCCAUUGAUACUGCAGGUCUUGAGUAAAUUUGAAGUGGCUGGAAUAAGUAGUGUAGCGGUGAAAUGCAUAGAUAUUACUUAGAACACCAAUUGCGAAGGCAGGUCACUAAGAUUUAACUGACGCUGAUGGACGAAAGCGUGGGGAGCGAACAGGAUUAGAUACCCCGGUAGUCCCUGUCUCUUAUAC